RNAcentral lists this transfer RNA (76 nucleotides) under Deltaproteobacteria bacterium. RNAcentral's name for it is "tRNA-Thr". It matches the Rfam family "tRNA". From Rfam's summary of the family: Transfer RNA (tRNA) molecules are approximately 80 nucleotides in length. The record is from RNAcentral. Lineage: Bacteria; Pseudomonadati; Myxococcota; Myxococcia.
GCCGACUUAGCUCAUUUGGUAGAGCAGCUGAUUCGUAAUCAGCAGGUGACGAGUUCAACUCUCGUAGUCGGCUCCA